This 99-nucleotide signal recognition particle RNA is filed under the name Halothece sp. PCC 7418. Its description in RNAcentral is "RNA component of signal recognition particle". It matches the Rfam family "Bacterial small signal recognition particle RNA". Rfam says of the family: The signal recognition particle (SRP) is a universally conserved ribonucleoprotein involved in the co-translational targeting of proteins to membranes. Lineage: Bacteria; Bacillati; Cyanobacteriota; Cyanophyceae; Chroococcales; Halothecacae. The record is from RNAcentral.
GAUCCGGGAUAGCGCGAUUGUGACGCCCGAACCUUGUCAGGACCGGAAGGUAGCAGCAAUAAGGGAUGCUCACAAUAGGCGCUAGACUCCGGGUCUUUU